RNAcentral lists this ribosomal RNA (590 nucleotides) under uncultured Pseudozyma. RNAcentral describes it as "LSU rRNA". It matches the Rfam family "Eukaryotic large subunit ribosomal RNA", at positions 81 to 654 of the family's 3401-position model. Lineage: Eukaryota; Fungi; Basidiomycota; Ustilaginomycetes; Ustilaginales; Ustilaginaceae. The record is from RNAcentral.
UAGUACGGCGAGUGAGAGGGAAGAGCCCAAGAUUGAAAGCUGGCGUCUUCGGCGUCCGCAUUGUAAUCUCAAGAAGUGUUUUCCGCUUCGGACCAAGCCUAAGUCCCCUGGAAAGGGGCAUCAUAGAGGGUGAUAAUCCCGUACAUGGCUUGGAGCGCCCGAGGCUUUGUGAUACGCUUUCUAAGAGUCGAGUUGUUUGGGAAUGCAGCUCAAAAUGGGUGGUAAAUGCCAUCUAAGGCUAAAUAUUGGGGAGAGACCGAUAGCGAACAAGUACAGUGAUGGAAAGAUGAAAAGAACUUUGAAAAGAGAGUUAAACAGUACGUGAAAUUGCCAAAAGGGAAGGGUAGGAGGUCAGAGAUGCGGCCUGGGAUUCAGCCUUGCUUUUGCUUGGUGUUUUUCCCAGAUUGCAGGCCAACGUCGGUUUUGGGCACUGGAGAAGGGUAGGAGGAACGUGGCACCCCUCGGGGUGUGUUAUAGCCUCCUACUGGAUACAGCGACCGAGACCGAGGACAGCAGCGUACUCGCAAGAGCGGGCCUUCGGGCACCUUUACGCUUAGGGCGUUGGCAUAAUGGCCCUCUACCACCCGUCU